AUGCGCAUGUUGAGAUGGAUGUGUGGCCACACAAGGAAGAAUCGGGUCCGGAAUGAUGAUAUACGGGACAAAGUUGGGGUGGCACCAAUUGAAGAGAAGCUUGUCCAAAAUCGUCUGAGAUGGUUUGGGCAUAUUCAGCGCAGGCCUCUAGAAGCUCCAGUGCAUAGCGGACGGCUAAAGCAUGUUGAUAAUGUGAGGAGAGGUCGUGGUAGACCAAACUUGACAUGGGAGGAGUCCGUAAAGAGAGACCUGAAGGACUGGAGUAUCACCAAGAACAAGCCGUGCGUGGAAGCUAGCUAUCCAUGUGCUCUACCAUGA
RNAcentral lists this ribosomal RNA (318 nucleotides) under Triticum aestivum (bread wheat). Its description in RNAcentral is "partial small subunit ribosomal RNA". The record is from RNAcentral. Lineage: Eukaryota; Viridiplantae; Streptophyta; Magnoliopsida; Poales; Poaceae.